This 586-nucleotide long non-coding RNA is filed under the name Elaeis guineensis (African oil palm). Its description in RNAcentral is "long non-coding RNA (EGUI_LNC064810)". Lineage: Eukaryota; Viridiplantae; Streptophyta; Magnoliopsida; Arecales; Arecaceae. The record is from RNAcentral.
AAAAUUGAAAGAGUUUUGGAUUUCUAAAACUCUAUCUUAUAGAAUUCGAAAUCCAAACUUAUUCCUUUUUGAUUUGAUCCAAACCACCUUCCAUGUAAGAAAGAAGAGAGAAAACCUUUUGUGAAUGUGGGAGAGACCUGGGAGAGGGCUUUUGUCACACAAAAUAAGUGGAGAUUGGCGUUGAAUAACAGAGAGGGCGUGGGGAAGGCUUAUGUGGCGCAAGGUGGAAUCCUAGUCUUACUAGGAUUCUAUCUUAUGACUUGUUUUAAUUUGGUUUCUCAAACCAAAUCAAAUCAAAAUUAGAUCAACCUAAUUAAAAUAAGUUUUAACCUAAUUAAGAACUUAAUUUAAUCAGAUUAAAUUAGAUUUAAAUCUGAUUUAUUUUUUUAAUCAAAUUAGAAAUUAGAUUGACCCAAGUCCUAGUUGAACUAGGACUAGUUUUUCUUUGUACUUGGCUUAUCCAAUAAACCAAUUAGACUUGAUUCAAUCAAGCCCAAAAUAAAUCUAAUUAAAUCAUAUUUAAUUAGACUUAAUCUCAGCCCAUUGGUUUAAUCAAAUUAAGCCAAUUAGCAAUCGAAUUGCUAAU